GACGAACGCUGGCGGCGUGCUUAACACAUGCAAGUCGAACGGAAAGGCCCUGCUUUUGUGGGGUGCUCGAGUGGCGAACGAGUGAGUAACACGUGAGUAACCUGCCCUUGACUUUGGGAUAACUUCAGGAAACUGGGGCUAAUACCGGAUAGGAGCUCCUGCUGCAUGGUGGGGGUUGGAAAGUUUCGGCGGUUGGGGAUGGACUCGCGGCUUAUCAGCUUGUUGGUGGGGUAGUGGCUUACCAAGGCUUUGACGGGUAGCCGGCCUGAGAGGGUGACCGGCCACAUUGGGACUGAGAUACGGCCCAGACUCCUACGGGAGGCAGCAGUGGGGAAUAUUGCACAAUGGGCGGAAGCCUGAUGCAGCAACGCCGCGUGCGGGAUGACGGCCUUCGGGUUGUAAACCGCUUUCGCCUGUGACGAAGCGUGAGUGACGGUAAUGGGUAAAGAAGCACCGGCUAACUACGUGCCAGCAGCCGCGGUGAUACGUAGGGUGCGAGCGUUGUCCGGAUUUAUUGGGCGUAAAGGGCUCGUAGGUGGUUGAUCGCGUCGGAAGUGUAAUCUUGGGGCUUAACCCUGAGCGUGCUUUCGAUACGGGUUGACUUGAGGAAGGUAGGGGAGAAUGGAAUUCCUGGUGGAGCGGUGGAAUGCGCAGAUAUCAGGAGGAACACCAGUGGCGAAGGCGGUUCUCUGGGCCUUUCCUGACGCUGAGGAGCGAAAGCGUGGGGAGCGAACAGGCUUAGAUACCCUGGUAGUCCACGCUGUAAACGGUGGGUACUAGGUGUGGGGUCCAUUCCACGGGUUCCGUGCCGUAGCUAACGCUUUAAGUACCCCGCCUGGGGAGUACGGCCGCAAGGCUAAAACUCAAAGGAAUUGACGGGGCCCCGCACAAGCGGCGGAGCAUGCGGAUUAAUUCGAUGCAACGCGUAGAACCUUACCUGGGUUUGACAUGGAUCGGGAGUGCUCAGAGAUGGGUGUGCCUCUUUUGGGGUCGGUUCACAGGUGGUGCAUGGCUGUCGUCAGCUCGUGUCGUGAGAUGUUGGGUUAAGUCCCGCAACGAGCGCAACCCUUGUUCACUGUUGCCAGCACGUUAUGGUGGGGACUCAGUGGAGACCGCCGGGGUCAACUCGGAGGAAGGUGGGGAUGACGUCAAGUCAUCAUGCCCCUUAUGUCCAGGGCUUCACGCAUGCUACAAUGGCUGGUACAGAGAGUGGCGAGCCUGUGAGGGUGAGCGAAUCUCGGAAAGCCGGUCUCAGUUCGGAUUGGGGUCUGCAACUCGACCUCAUGAAGUCGGAGUCGCUAGUAAUCGCAGAUCAGCAACGCUGCGGUGAAUAAGUUCCCGGGGCU
RNAcentral lists this ribosomal RNA (1346 nucleotides) under uncultured bacterium. RNAcentral's name for it is "partial 16S ribosomal RNA". It matches the Rfam family "Bacterial small subunit ribosomal RNA", at positions 28 to 1381 of the family's 1533-position model. The record is from RNAcentral.